This 492-nucleotide ribosomal RNA is filed under the name uncultured bacterium. RNAcentral's name for it is "partial 16S ribosomal RNA". It matches the Rfam family "Bacterial small subunit ribosomal RNA", at positions 29 to 507 of the family's 1533-position model. The record is from RNAcentral.
AGUGAACGCUGGCGGUAGGCCUAACACAUGCAAGUCGAACGGCAGCACAGUAAGAGCUUGCUCUUACGGGUGGCGAGUGGCGGACGGGUGAGGAAUACAUCGGAAUCUACUUUUUCGUGGGGGAUAACGUAGGGAAACUUACGCUAAUACAGCAUACGACCUACGGGUGAAAGCAGGGGUUCUUCGGACUUUGCGCGAUUGAAUGAGCCGAUGUCGGAUUAGCUAGUUGGCGGGGUAAAGGCCCACCAAGGCGACGAUCCGUAGCUGGUCUGAGAGGAUGAUCCGCCACACUGGAACUGAGACACGGUCCAGACUCCUACGGGAGGCAGCAGUGGGGAAUAUUGGGCAAUGGGCGCAAGCCUGAUCCAGCCAUACCGCGUGAGUGAAGAAGGCCUUCGGGUUGUAAAGCCCUUUUGUUGGGAAAGAAAAGCAGCAGGUUAAUACCCCGCUGUUCUGACGGUACCCAAAGAAUAAGCACCGGCUAACUUCGUG